RNAcentral lists this long non-coding RNA (1388 nucleotides) under Homo sapiens (human). Its description in RNAcentral is "non-protein coding lnc-REST-2:1". The record is from RNAcentral. Lineage: Eukaryota; Metazoa; Chordata; Mammalia; Primates; Hominidae.
AAUAACAAAGAAGAAUCUAAACCAGUUUAAGGUAUGCUCCUGGAACUGUUCAAAAUCUUCUGGGCAUGAAGCAUUGUUAUCUUUUUCAGAGUAACAUAGGAAAAAAUGAAAUUCACUGUUGGGCAAGUCAAAACGUUGUUUUCUUUGUGGUGUGUGGGAUUUCUGGUUUGAGUUAUCUUGCCUGUUCUUGCAGGAAGGAAAUUCAUGGAUCUACAGGAUUACAAGAAUUUAUGAAAAUGUUAGAACCUGAAAGUUGUUUAUUUUGGUGGCUCCAAAAUUUGAAAGGUAAACUGUAAGACAGAAAUUAGUAAAGAUUUAAUAAAAUGUCUAUAAAAUACAUUAUGUCAGCUAACUUAGUCUCCUGGGUUCAAGCGAUUCUCCUGCUUCAGCCUCCCUAGUAGCCAGUAUCACAGGCCUGCGCCACCACGCCUGGCUAAUUUUUGUAUUUUUAGUAGAGACAGGGUUUCACCAUGUUGGCCUGGCUGGUCUCGAACUUCUGACCUCAGGUAAUCCACCUGCCUCGGCCUCCCAAAGUGCUGGGAUUACAGGCUUGAGCCACUGUGCCCAGUCGAGUAUGAACUUCAUGUCAGGAGAGAUAAAGAAUCUUGACAUUUGGCUGGUCGCAGUGGCUCACGCCUGUAAUUGGGAGGCAGAGGCGGGUGGAUCACUUGAGGUCAGGUGUUUGAGCCCAGCCUGGCCAACAUGGUGAAAUCCCAUCUCUACUAAAAAUACAAAAAGUAGCCAGGCAUGGUGGCUCACGCCUGUAGUCCCAGCUACUUGGGAGGCUGAGGCAGGAGAAUCGUGUGAACCCGAGAGGUGGAGGUUGCAGUGAGCCAAGAUCGUGCCACUGCACUCCAGCCUAGGUAACAGAGCGAGAUUCUGUCUCAAAAAAAACAAAACAGAACAAAACAAAAACUUGACAUUUAUCUAAGCCAUGAAAAAUCUGAGUGAACUAUCCUUGUCCUAAACCUACAUUAUGCAUCUCUGUCUACCAGAUUCAGUGUCUCAAUAAUCGUUAGACAAUUUUAGGUGAAUAGUGUCCAAUUUUGAGAUGGAGUUUCGCCCUUGUUGCCACCACGCCCGGUAGAGAUGAGGUUUCUCCAUGUUGGUCAGGCUGGUCUUGAACUCCCCACCUCGCCCAUCUCGGCCUCCCAAAGUGCUGGCAUCUAUGUGGUUGCAUGUAUCUGUAGUUACUUUAUUUUAUUAUUGAAUGAGUCCGGAAUACACAGCUGUGGCAUAAAAAUUAUUUUGAGUAGAAGGCCAUCUGAGUUCUUGAAAUCUCUUAUAUCCCUGAAAGCAGAGCCUCCCAAAAGAAUUCAGUUUUUGUAAAUCCCUUCCCAGCAAAGCAACCAGGGACAAUUGACUCUUAUCACCACUAAUGAGAAGUC